UACGUAGGGGGCUAGCGUUGUCCGGAAUCAUUGGGCGUAAAGCGCGUGUAGGCGGUCCGGUAAGUCCGCUGUGAAAGUCGGGGGCUCAACCCUCGGAUGCCGGUGGAUACUGUCGGGCUUGAGUACGGAAGAGGCGAGUGGAAUUCCUGGUGUAGCGGUGAAAUGCGCAGAUAUCAGGAGGAACACCAAUUGCGAAGGCAGCUCGCUGGGACGUGACUGACGCUGAGACGCGAAAGCGUGGGGAGCAAACAGG
RNAcentral lists this ribosomal RNA (253 nucleotides) under uncultured bacterium. Its description in RNAcentral is "partial 16S ribosomal RNA". It matches the Rfam family "Bacterial small subunit ribosomal RNA", at positions 524 to 776 of the family's 1533-position model. The record is from RNAcentral.